GCGCCUGUAGCUCAAUGGAUAGAGCGCCGGUCUUCGGAACCGUAGGUUGGGGGUUCGACUCCCUCCAGGCGCA
Molecule: transfer RNA, 73 nt
Filed under: Candidatus Dojkabacteria bacterium
Lineage: Bacteria
Description: tRNA-Arg
Rfam family: tRNA
About the family: Transfer RNA (tRNA) molecules are approximately 80 nucleotides in length. Their secondary structure includes four short double-helical elements and three loops (D, anti-codon, and T loops). Further hydrogen bonds mediate the characteristic L-shaped molecular structure. tRNAs have two regions of fundamental functional importance: the anti-codon, which is responsible for specific mRNA codon recognition, and the 3' end, to which the tRNAs corresponding amino acid is attached (by aminoacyl-tRNA synthetases). tRNAs cope with the degeneracy of the genetic code in two manners: having more than one tRNA (with a specific anti-codon) for a particular amino acid; and 'wobble' base-pairing, i.e. permitting non-standard base-pairing at the 3rd anti-codon position.
Source: RNAcentral